Molecule: ribosomal RNA, 253 nt
Filed under: uncultured Parabacteroides sp.
Lineage: Bacteria; Pseudomonadati; Bacteroidota; Bacteroidia; Bacteroidales; Tannerellaceae
Description: partial 16S ribosomal RNA
Rfam family: Bacterial small subunit ribosomal RNA
Source: RNAcentral
UACGGAGGAUCCGAGCGUUAUCCGGAUUUAUUGGGUUUAAAGGGUGCGUAGGCGGCCUUUUAAGUCAGCGGUGAAAGUCUGUGGCUCAACCAUAGAAUUGCCGUUGAAACUGAGGGGCUUGAGUAUGUUUGAGGCAGGCGGAAUGCGUGGUGUAGCGGUGAAAUGCAUAGAUAUCAGGAGGAACACCGGCGGCGAAGGCGGCCUGCUGGACCGCGACUGACGUUGAGGCUCGAAAGCGUGGGGAGCGAACAGG